Molecule: ribosomal RNA, 468 nt
Filed under: uncultured bacterium
Lineage: Bacteria
Description: partial 16S ribosomal RNA
Rfam family: Bacterial small subunit ribosomal RNA
Source: RNAcentral
GACGAACGCUGGCGGCGUGCUUAACACAUGCAAGUCGAACGGAAAGGCCCUGCUUUUGUGGGUUGCUCGAGUGGCGAACGGGUGAUUAACACGUGAGUAACCUGCCCUUGACUUUGGGAUAACUUCAGGAAACUGGGGCUAAUACCGGAUAUGAGCUCCUGCUGCAUGGUGGGGGUUGGAAAGUUUCUGCGGUUGGGGAUGGACUCGCGGCUUAUCAGCUUGUUGGUGGGGUAGUGGCUUACCAAGGCUUUGACGGGUAGCCGGCCUGAGAGGGUUACAGGCCACAUUGGGACUAAGAUACGGCCCAAACUACUACGGAAGGAAGCAGUGGGGAAUAUUGAACAAUGGGCGGAAGCCUGAUGCAGAAACGCGGAGUGCGGGAUGACGGACUUCGGGUUGUAAACCGCUAUCGCCUGUGACGAAGCGUGAGUGACGGUAAUGGGUAAAGAAGCACCGGCUAACUACGUG